Molecule: ribosomal RNA, 315 nt
Filed under: Schizocosa ocreata
Lineage: Eukaryota; Metazoa; Arthropoda; Arachnida; Araneae; Lycosidae
Description: partial 12S ribosomal RNA
Source: RNAcentral
AGAUAGUAAAAAUAUAAAUAAAAAUCUAUUUAUAAUGGCGGCAUUUCAUUUUAUUAAAGGAACCUGUUUUUUAAUCGAUAAUCCACGUUAAUUUUCACUUAAAUUAAAAAUUUAUAUACCACCAUCUAAAACUAAUUUAAUAAUAAUAUUUUCAAUAAAAAAUAAAAAGUUAGGUCAAGGUGUAAUUUAUAUUUAAGUUAUUAAUGGGUUACUCUAAAAAAAAUUAAAGGAUCUUCGUAUAAAAAUACUUUUAGAAAAAGGAUUUAUAUGUAUUAAUAUAAUAAUAUUUUAUUACGACUAAAAUAAUAAAUGUGC